This 497-nucleotide ribosomal RNA is filed under the name uncultured bacterium. Its description in RNAcentral is "partial 16S ribosomal RNA". It matches the Rfam family "Bacterial small subunit ribosomal RNA", at positions 28 to 507 of the family's 1533-position model. The record is from RNAcentral.
GAUGAACGCUGGCGGCGUGCCUAAUACAUGCAAGUCGAGCGGAAAGACGCGAAGCUUGCUUCUCUGAUGUUAGCGGCGGACGGGAGAGUAACACGUGGAUAACCUACCUAUGAGACUGGGAUAACUUCGGGAAACCGGAGCUCAUACCGGAUAAUAUUUUGAACCGCAUGGUUCAAAAGUGAAAGACGGUCGUGCUGCCACUGAUAGAUGGAUCCGCGCUGCAUUAGCUAGUUGGUAAGGUAACGGCUUACCAAGCCAACGAUGCAUAGCCGACCUGAGAGGGUGAUCGGCCACACUGGAACUGAGACACGGUCCAGACUCCUACGGGAGGCAGCAGUAGGGAAUCUUGCGCAAAGGGCGAAAGCCUGACGGAGCCACGCCGCGUGAGUGAUGAAGGUCUUCGGAUCGUAAACCUCUGUUAUUAGGAACGAACAGCCGUCUAAGUAACCGUGCACAUCUUGACGGUACCUAAUCAGAAAGCCCCGGCUAACUACGUG